This 5156-nucleotide unclassified non-coding RNA is filed under the name Helicoverpa zea (corn earworm). Its description in RNAcentral is "probable G-protein coupled receptor CG31760, transcript variant X1". The record is from RNAcentral. Lineage: Eukaryota; Metazoa; Arthropoda; Insecta; Lepidoptera; Noctuidae.
GUGAGCAAGCAAACGCCCGCCGCCUCUCCCCAUCUUGUAUAUUUUCAUUCGAAUCCCGGUCGAGGCUUGAUAUUUUCCCGUAGGCCCGAACCCUCAGUCCUCUGAAAGUCGCGGUGGGAAUUCCACAUUUCCCUCGAAUUUAAAACCGGUGAAACAGUUUCAUGUGGAAUGAUUGAGUAACCAUUGCGAUGCUUCGUGAAACUGAGUGCUGCUCAUGAUAAAACGUGAAUUAUUGUGUUUUAUGUGUUGAUUUUAAUUUAUAAAAUUGUUCGGGAGCUGUGAGCGGACCAUUGCUGGAGGGAGAACAAGGUCGUAUUACCGUCCUUGUGAGCGAGCAUUAACGAAUUUAGGCGCCGUUCAGGCAUGAUUUGAACUAUCGAGGAGUGCGCGUGCGCGCGCGAAUGGUGGGCAGUGAUGGGGGGGCCGCGGCGCAUGUCCAGUGCGCUGCUGCUGCCCUUCGCGCUGCUGUCCCUGCCACCAGCAGAGGCUGCCAAUAAUACCGGCUACCGGGAAGAAGUAGAAUCGUCACUUCGUUUAGUGCACGCAGUGGCGACUGGUGCCACUGGGGCGUUAUGCGUCACACAUCGAUAUGGGCGACUUCGAGCUCCCUUGCACGCUGCACGGUGGGACACUGCGAGGGCCAGGGCAGACCUGGCCGCGAAUCUCCUCCAACAGCUGGGCUUGGAAAACGCAGAAAUUCUGAUGGCGGUUUCCCAAGGCCUUGUGCUAGGUGCAAGUCCGUCAGAGCGAGCGGUGGGGGCAAGAGCACUCGCCUUGAGGUCAGAUGGACUAGUGAACAGCGCCGUGGCCUGGGAGAGAUACGGCACCGCAGAACCGGUGGCUGUUGUAUCUCCACAGCUUGAGAAACCGCCUGAUCCUGAAUAUCCGUGGUACGUGUCAGCACAUGAAAGUGAAACGCUGCGAUCUCCAAAGUUCAUGCCAUCUCCACCCGGCGCGACUAUGGAAGGCUGGUGGACCUACCCUUACUACAGUUGUGAAGCGAAACGGUGGCUGUUAUCGUAUACGGUGCCUGUAGCUACAAUUCGUGGAUUGAAAGGCAUCGUCUCGCUUGACAUAGACAUAUCUAGCUUGGAAAUAAACCAGUGCGAGGCGGACCCUGAAGAUGAAAACGACAACCAAAUAUAUUCCUUUCACGGGACACACAAAUGCCCGAACGAUACCACUUACUGUGAAUACAGGCCAAACAGAGAAAUGAGUAUUCGGCACGCUGGUUGGGCGCGUGGGUCAUAUAUUUGCCGAUGUCGUCCCGGCUACUAUUCGACACAUCAUCGUGAAGGAUAUAAUGGAUCCCUUGUUGAAGUUGCAUACCAAGAAUACGAAGAAAACGAUUUAGAAAACUGGAGCGAGCCAUACGAGUGUCUGAAAUGUCAGCCAGGCUGCGAAACAUGUCGGGGACCGGAACCCUGCCUUGCCACUUACAACUGGCCUUUCCGGAUAUCUUUACUGGUGAUAUCAGUAAGCUGUGCAGUGAUGACGGUUUGCCUGACCAUUUACACUCGCCACCAUCGCAGAGUGAAGGUGUUCCGAGUGGCCAGUCCUGUGUUCCUCUCCAUCACUCUUCUUGGAUGUGCUAUUAUGUACAUGGAGAUGGCAGCUAUCUUCCCGGUGUUGGAUAGAUAUUCAUGUAUUGCCACAAAAUGGACUCGCCACAUGGGAUUCUGUAUCACUUACACAGCACUUCUGAUGAAAACAUGGCGAGUAUCACUAACAUACCGUGUGAAGUCAGCCCAUAAACUGAAGCUGACAGACAAACAGUUGCUGCAGUGGAUGGCACCUAUACUGCUCAUCAUGCUGGUCUACCUGGGCACCUGGACACUGUCUGCACCACCGGAUGCUGAAGUUAUAACUGACAACAAAGGACUGAAAUUCAAGCAGUGUACUUACAACUGGUGGGAUCACAGUUUAGCUAUAGGUGAAAUCCUGUUCCUUUUAUGGGGCGUCCGAGUAUGUUAUCGUGUGCGGCACGCAGAGAGCCUGUACAACGAGGCAAGGCUCAUCUCCAUAGCCAUCUACAAUAUAUUCACUGUCAACUCCCUAAUGAUAGCUUUCCAUUUACUAAUAUUGCCACGGGCUGGGCCGGAUAUUAAAUAUCUCCUUGGGUUCAUAAGAACUCAGCUAUCAACAUCAACUACAGUUCUACUGGUGUUUUUACCUAAGGUAUUACGUGUGGUACGCGGCACAGGCGACACGUGGGACAGCCGGGCUCGAGCUCGUGGUGUGCCCGCCUCCUCCUCGCUCAACGGCAUCGGCCUCGUGCCCGACGACCCGCCCGACCUCUACCAGGAGAACGAGGAGCUUAAGGAGGAAGUUCAAAAGCUAGCCGCACAAAUAGAAUUCAUGAAGAUAGUGCAAAUGGAGAUGCACAACCGUCACCUGCGGCCGCGGCCCGGCGGAUACUUCACUACGAACGCGAACUCCGCCGCGGCGCAGAGCCCCAUACACCCUAAGACUGUUAAUAUUUCACAGGACAGUACAGAAUGGAGCGGCCCAGUGUGACUGGUGGCGCUAAGCGACAGCGGCUGGUCGUGGCCCGGGCCGGCGGGCAAGCGCGUCAGCACCACCGUAGACCUGCGCCCGCCCGCCUACGUGUGACGUCAUACAGCCAAGCUUCGUUUUGUUCAGUGACUUUCAGUUGCAAUUCAGUGGCUAACAAACUUUAUUCAUUCAUUUAGUGUCUUAAUUGCAAAAAAAUGAACUUAUCAAGUGAUAAUUUGAUCGGGCAUCUUAAUUUAGUGUUAGUGUUUUUGUAAUUGGCAUAUUCAGAAUAAAGCACAGUGUUUGUUGAGUUAGUAUUUGCUAUGCUUAUCUCAAUAAAUUUCUUUGCAUUGUAUAAAGAUGAUCAGUUUAUAGUGUAAAAGUGUUUGUAUUUCCAUGCGAUGGUAAUCGUUAACUGUUGUUUCUUAGAUAGGAUACUUCAUGAAAAAUUCAAUAAUGAACUAGAAAUCCUGCAUUCAUAUUUAUUACAUUGCUGUAGAAAAGGCUAGUGGUCAACACUGAUUAAAUACUCAUUACUCAGCUCAGGUAGAUAUACUAUUUGUAACUUAUACCAAAGAAAUAUUUGUAAUCAUUUUAACAUCUUUAGUACAAAGUGUGCCACCAAAAGACAUAAUGUAGUUCAUUGACUACUAAAACUGUGUUCUUGUAAGACUUGUUAUUAUUUAUAUCGCUUAUUCUAGUAAUUAUCUUCCAUGUUGUAAUUAUUGUGAACAUUCCAAAUAUUAAUUUAGAAGAUUUAUGCUAUGAAUUAGUUGUAUAGUAUCUAACUAAAGUGUUAUUUUUAAAUGUUAUUUCUGUGGUGAUGUUACCAAAUCGAUUAAGUCAAGUAAAUGUGUGAAAAACAUGAAUAUAUAUAAAAUAUAAAAUUAUUCCUUAUUUGUAAUAUGUAUAUUUGUAGUUUUACAUAAAAAAAAUGUUGGGCACUGAGUGUUCAUCCUUAGGACAGACAAUAAGAAAUAAAAGUUUGAAAAUUUUAUUUAAUAAGUCAUACGGAAUUAAAAAACAGUCUUAUUUAAUUUAGAUUAAUGUCUAAUUAUUAAGUUUGAACUUAAAAGUGUAACAAUUGUUAUCAAUUAUGUGUUGUAAACUAGGAACAUAUGUUGUAAUCCAUUUGUAUAGUUUUAGGCAUAAAACAAAUUGUAAAUAUGAGUCAAGAUAAAGCAUAAAUUCUAAAGUGUUGUACAUAAACUCAUUAGAGAUGAUUAAUUAUUGUUUUAUUUAAUUUACCAUCUGUGAUAAGCAGUAUUAAUCAAUUAUAAAUGUUGUGUAAUGUUACUUACAGAGGGGUUAUGAAAAUCUUUGUAACAGGAUCAGAUCAACUUUGAUCUGAGAUAACAGGUACCUAUUCCAGUUUUAAAUUAAAAGUUAAAUAGCUAUCAUUACUAUUUUCAGGUAAGCAAGUAGGUACAUGAAAAAGAGUAAACUACUAUGCCAGAUUAACAUCCCCCAUGAGAUUUGAAACAGUUUUACAAAGAUUUUCAUAAUAUCAACUAUAAUUUUAUAGAUUUAUUGCAUGAUAUAAAAAUAUAGUAUUGUAAACAAAAUGUCUACCCAAUUUAUUUCAAAAUCUUGAAGUCUUCACUUUCUAAUUAAACUUAGAUAUUAUAGUGUUUAUUUUUUUAUGCUAGUUGGCUAUGCUAUUAUUGAGUCUAGGUAUUAAAUGUUACUGUGUUCAAUGUUUUCUAAGAGAGCAUUCACAAGCAGUUUUGAUGCUUAUUUCAAGGUAGAAAGUCAUAUUAUUACAUGAUGAACAAUAUACCAGAAUAUUUUUAAUUCUACCCAAAAUUAAAAGAGAACGGGAUUGGAGAUGGAAACGGGUUUUGUCUCAGAAAUGGUUAGUUUUAUAUUAAGCUCAAAAUGUUUUUGAAAAUGUUUAAAAAGAUCUGUUUUGUAAAAAAUAUAUUUUACUUCUUCUCUACUAAAUAUACCUUUACCUUCCUUCUUAUUUUUUAAUUAAAUUUUUAUUAAAUGCAAGAAAUUGUUGUCAAAAAAUAAAAUAAGGUAAAGUUAAAAUAUAACAUUUAAAUGAUUGAUGUGAGUCACAAAAUACUUUUGAAGUAUCUGCUGUUUUCAUGGCAUUUCAAUUACUAUGUCUGGUUUCCAUGGUGUAUAAUGUAAUAUAUGAACGGAUUAUCAUGUAAAUGACACUUGUUGCAAUUCAGUGAAAUAUAAAUUGCAACAUCUAUUUCACUGAACCUAGGUAUGAUUCUACAACAUCAACAUUUUAGAGUGUAAAGUUAAAUAUUAUUUAGUCACAAGCUAUCCAGCAGAGUGUAACUCAUCCAUCAUUUAUAGAUGUGCCAGUAGCUUAAGUUAUAAAUGUGAUACAAAAUAUAACUUAGCAAGUAUAUCUAAUUUUAUUUUCUUAAAUAUAAUUUUACUCUUUCAAUCUCUUUAGACUAUUUCAUGUUCUAUGUGCCAACUUAUAAAUUUUUGAGGUGAAUAUAAAAAAAUAAUGUAUACAUUUUGUAUAUAGUUUUUUUUUUUUUUUUUUAUUAAAUAAAAUACAUUGUAAUCAUGAUGUCACAUGGAUGUUAUAUUAGAAUUGAUGUUAUAAGUAUUAUUAAUCUAUGAUACUCGUUUCUAGGUGAAUUUUAUGUAAGAGGUUCUGUUUUUACAUUAAAAUAAAAAUGACUGUU